Long non-coding RNA from Gallus gallus (chicken), 6144 nucleotides. Lineage: Eukaryota; Metazoa; Chordata; Aves; Galliformes; Phasianidae. The record is from Ensembl.
UGCUCAUGUCUGACACAAGUGAACAUAUGAAACACAACUAACACUGAUCCCUUUUUAUAGGAGAUGGGCCUGUGAUGUUUGGAACUAGUUACAUUUUGCAGUGUCAAGUAGUAGAGAGCAUGGGAAGAAGUGCGUCACUGGUCAGUUCAAGACUGACUGAUAAAUAGGAUGGAUCUUGCUAACUCCUUUGUAAUCUAUUUGCUACUUAGAGAAAUACCUUCUGCAGUGAAAUAUAUCUUCCUCAGAACAAUGUGGAAUCUAAUUAUAUAAGAAAUAAAAUCAAAUCAAGAUACAGUAGAAGCUAUGUCCAGAUCAACAGAUAAAUGAAGAAAAAUUUGAUGAUGCAGAGAGAGGAAGAAAUGUAUCACAGCAUGAAGGAGGAAGAAGAGCAGUCAUCUCUGGUACCUUGGGUGAGAGCACAGGAAGAAAGCCAUGGUCUCGCCCUUUGCUUGAGAAUGUCUGAGCAAUGAUGAACUCCGUGACCUUGGGAUGUUACCUUACUCAGGUGAUCAGAAAACAUUUUGCUGACUUUUGACUUAAGCCUCAGAACAGAAAUAAAAAUCAUCAGAGGUAAAAUACUAGGAAAAUUUAAGCAUUAGUUACCUCCAAUAGCUAAAAAAAAAAAAACACCCACAACACUAAUUGGAUACUCAAAGGCUAUAAUUCUGUUCAAAACAGAUCCUGUUUUCUUCUGUGUAUAAUAACAUAAUGCAAAGACGUUUUUCAAAGGGAAAAAUAUCCCAUGUGCUGCUAUGCAUGAAUUAAUAUAAAAUGUCUGCUCAUUGAAAUAAUGGAUUUUCAUGCAUUUUUUCCAUUUCCAGUAUUUCAAGAAAUCUAAUUUGGAAAAGGAACCCCCUGCACUGGCUGAUUUCCUCUCUGUGGGGGUCUAAGUGUAAUUGAUACUGUACAACAACAAUCAGGCUGUUUUCAGCCUCAGAUUUUGUACAUAUAAGUGAGAGAAGGCAAUAUUUAAGUGAGGGGGAUAGAGACUGUGCUCACAUAAAUAUUUAAAUAUAAUAGGCCUAAUUAAUUUCCAGUAUAAUUACAUGGAUAUUACAUUGGUUACAUCUAUAAUUCAGAAAUUAAUCUGAUAAGUACUGGCUCAGUUGAGCUAAAGCAGAAAUUACCCAGUGUUAGAAAAUGUCAAAGUAAACAUGAUCUGAUUUGCAUAUUAGAAAGCAGUGGAGUAGAUAUUUCUGCUCUGAAACCUUAGACCAUUUUAGAUGCAGAAGAAAGAGGGUGAUAAACAUGGCAGGGUUGGCAGAGUGGCUGAAAUGAGAGAGUAAAACAAUGCAUCUGCCUAUCCAGGUAUGUCACUCCUGUUUGCAAGCUCCUUUUGACAGAAGUGAGUCUACUGGGAACCUGUUCUUCCAGAUGCUCAGGAAGAGUCUUCUUAGUCUCUGGAAUUUAUGAAGUCAACACAAAGCAUAGCAUUUGUACUAUUUGCUGUUAAACCUGCUAAACAACUCUGAUACAACCAUCAGCAACAGUAUAGUAAGUGGUUCAGAGAAAGCAAUCUGAGGCCAUCCCCUCUUCACAGAGAGAAGCUGGAAUUCAUUGUAUUUUGUUCAGCAGAGAAAUCUGACUGUGUUGUCAGGGACUCUUUCAACACAGCUUAAUGACCUAUUUGGCACUUUUCAAAGAAAAGAAAAUUCUGCUGACACUUUUUCUAUCUAGUAAAAGCCAAGAAAAACAAGAUCUGCAGAGGUGGAAGUCCGUCAGAGAACACACCUGGCAACAGAGGCAACCAGGAAGAUAUCGUUGGAGCACUCUGUUUGGAAGAGUAUCCAGGGACAGGAGUUUUCAGUGAAGGACUAUCAGCAACCACAGUAAUUGCCAGCUGAAAAUAAUCCAGCCAUUUCCAAGUAUAUCUUCUCAUUACCAUUCGAACAGGCCUCUCAAAUCUCCUCCAAAAGGGUCCUCAAUGUAGUUGUUUUGCCAAGCAUUUGCUUCUGUUGGAUCAAACUCCUUGCUAAUGUAGACUUAGUCAAAGACAACAAGACAUGUUUCACGCUGGCUCUGAAGUCUCUGAGCAGUAUUUGUUAGACCAUCACAAUACUGGCAUGCAGGCUUUUAGGGGAGGUUCCGGGGGUGAACUUUUGGUGUUGUGAACACAGUGACCUCCUAGAAAGUAUUUUGCACACCUAAGUGAGACAAGGAAUGGUAGAACCCUAAGACAGAAUGAUAUUUGCAAAGAAGGAGGCAGUGCAGCUGCUGGAAAAUGGAAGUUGAAAAGUAGCAUGGAAGGAAAUCUUUGUAAGCUAGUACAGUUUUCAAGUGUCCACGUAUCACCUCAAGUAAUCUCAUUCUCUUCAUAAAACAGGCAUUCCUGGACAGUUAAGAAACAUGUUUAAGCUUUAAGGACAAGAACAGAAACAUCAGAAACUAUUAAUUAGGUUAGGCAGCUUUGGGAAAUCUGUAUAAUAAAAAUAACCAUAUUCAAUCAUGGAAGAAAUAAAGGUCUCUCAAUAGGAUCCCUGUGUUGGUAUAGUGUCAGCUACGAAAUAACAAUGUGACUCCUGGGAUUCAAUGGACAUACGCACUGUAAAGUGUCGUAGAAACUAAGCAGAUGCAGAACUGACUGAUCUUGAUAUAAUAAGGAUUAAUUAAAGUAAGGAAAAGAUUGGCUAUAGGGCUUCUGGGAAGAUAUGUUUAAAAUAUCCUAUCUUCUAAAAUGUAAUAGCUCAAAGUUGUCAUAACUGAAGGUGAGAAGACAACAUCAGAAGAUUGGAGUGAAAAACAAAGUAGCUUAUUUUUUUCAGUGGGUGCUGAAAAAAAGCUUAAAAUUUUGAAUGACAAUAACAGUCUCAGAGCCAUACCUUACAUACCAGUAGAAGAGGCUUACUGUGCCUAAAAAGAGUUUACUGAAAUAUCAUUAAGUGACAUCAAAAAUUGUAAGAAUCUAAAUGCUUUAAUUUUUCCUCACAUGUGUAUGGAUUUUAAUUCCUGCUGGGUCUUUCAAAGUAUUAUUACAUUGCUGCCUGCAGGAGUAUAGCAAGUCAGUCAUUAGAUAUCAGAUACUAAAUAAAGGCUUUGUUAUGUAGGGCACAAAAUACAUGAUUGGCUUCCAAUCGUUUUCAAGCUCAAUUUUUCCAUAAUUCCUCUGUUUGUACUGAGGAAUCAGAAGCCACCUUUCAAGCCACUUGAGGUGAAAUGCGGGCCUCGCAUGGCAUGACUCUUCCAUGUUAAGUCAAAAUGCUUCAUUGAUGUUCUUUUCCAAAUUCUAUUCCUUGCUUCUCACAGUACUUUCUAAGAGUAAAAUCUCAAUCACCUCUGUCCUAGCAUUUUCUCUGGAAUCUAUCAAAUAUAGAAAUUACUGUCAACGUUAGUAUUUUCUGUUUUUCUUUCAAAUUCACACAUUGCUUCAAAUAUGUAUUUUUAAGAUACACGGUAACUUCUAUUUUGACAAAAUACGCAUCCCCUCGCCAAAGUCUUACCCAAUAACACUUUCCUUCAGCAACACUUCUCUUCCUUGCUAUUGAAUAAUAAUUAACAGAAACACUAGAAGUCCAAGGUCAAAGUCAUCACCACAUUAUGACAGUUCAAGUUCUGUACAUCACCUUGAGAUGCCAUUUUUUGUAAAAAUACAGUGUGGAUUGAAAUUGUUGAUAUUCUCAUGGCCAUAUUGCUGUAAUAAUUCACAGGUUAUUUUUUAUCAGUUUUCCACCUUUCAGUUUCACUUAGUUUUAGUUCAAAAAGCCUUUGCUGUCUAUCUCAGAUGUUAUAUUUGCACUUUUACCAAUAAUCAUCACUUAUCAGCUUUCAUGUUUCAGAUUACCAGAAUUUUCACUCCUACAGUUUCAGUUCUUCAGGCCAUAUCAAUAGUCCUUCAUCAAUAGCAUUAGAGAGCUAUGUAUGAGAUCAGUUUUAUUUUGUUCUACCAGUCAUCUUUUUCACUUUAUCUUUCUAUUUACCAGGUUACAGCUGCCUGAGUCUAAUAAAUAUUCAUUUGAUUAUUUUAAAGUCAGUCACAUUUUGACCUGUUUAGGUCAAGAGACUUAAAGAGCACUCAUGAUUUUCAGACUGUGUGUUUGUGUGGACUUGUUUCCAAUGUUCUUUUAUCAUCACAAUUAUAUUCCUUUCAUAUUGACCCUUAUUCUAUUAAAUAGCCCUCCACCUUCCCUUAAGAGUUCUUUGUAUACUUAAUGACUGGAUUUUUUUCUGUUUUCUGAUCCACAUAUGGAAGACAAAAAUUAAUUCCUUUGUUAGGGCACCAUUACAAUGAUCCUGUAAUAUCUUGGGAUAACUGUUCUGUUAUUGUUGGUAAAAACCUGACUUGGAUUUUGUUAGCACAAUGAUGACAGUUGAAAAAAACCAAAACAUUGUAAGUGACUGAUCACUCAUUAGACUUACUUGGCUGCACUUAUUUUUCUUAAUCAUUGAAAAUUCAGUUGUCAAAUAUGUAUAAAUAACUUUUUUCCCCUACCAUAAUUUCUGUCGAUUCAGAAGGGAUCAGAAAAGGUUUCCUUGCUACAUGACAGAUAACUCCAUUCUCUAAUAGUCUGUUCUCUGCAGCUGUUCUUUCACUGCUGUACUGUUCUUUUUCUUCCACUAUUAUUGCAUUACAUUUUUUCUCUGACUAAUAAUCCUGUGGGAUAGAUCCUGCUCACACUCCUCUUCCAUACAGCCUACAAAUUAAAGAUGCAAGAAGCAAUUUCUACAAACGUGGAAUGUUAGAUAUUGUGGUAACAGGGAAUUUAAAAGUAACUGAGGUUUUUUUUGUUCACAUCAAUCCACUUAAUUAAACUAAAAAGAUGAAAAGAGUAAAGAAAAGCAAGAGACAGCAGUGGGUAAAGAUACGAAGUAUAUCAGAACAAAACAAAGGAAAGCCAUACUCAGAAGUGGCAAUGCUUUUCUCAAAAACACUGACUACAUUAAGUGCUUCUCUCUGCUCUGGUAGUGGUGGCCAAUUUAAUCCUGUGUAGCUGGAGAUAUUCAGGAAGUCUCCUACAGAUAUUAAUGACUAUUAACAAAAAUACUUGCUCAGACAGGCUUUAAAAGAUUAAAUAUAAAAUUUGAACUUAGCCUUUCAGCAGAUGACGUCGCAUCUCUGCAUAAAUACUUGAUUUGAUGGCCCAUAGGUGUUUGCUUACAACUGUAUAUUCUAAGCAGGUAAAAACAUUUGUACAUGCUUGGCUUAAAAUGUUUUCAUGUUUAAUAAUCUAGUUUAGGCCACACAACAAAUCAGUGACAGUAAGCAGCUGGCAUUCAACAGCGUUAUUGGUUUCAAAACUCCCACUGACUUAGUAGAUGUGAUAUGGCCAGUCUUCCCAAUAAUCCAGACAAUACUGCUGUGGAUCAAGGAACAUUUUAUGCCACUAAUUCCAAUUAGUGAAUAGGGAAUAGAAAAUCCAUAUCAUAUGACUUGUUACUGAGUACAGAACUGCAUCAGUGUUCUCAUCAGAAAGAAUAUAAGGAAAACAAACAACAGGUCUUCCUUUAUGCAGAUUUUGAUCAGGAAUUUGUGGUAAGAAUUUGCUUGUACCAAAUCAUGUGCUGCACAUGUAAGGACUCGAUGGUUUAAAAUGCCUCUAUCUUUAAUGUUUUGUUUCUGCAUUUGCAAUGUGAGAUUUUACUUUGAAUAAAGUAAUAAAUUUUAGAUUGAUUCAAAGUUUCAAAUUGUUCUUCAUACUUAGAUUACAGAUUAAUCAAAGUGACUAUUUCAAUAUUGCCAUGUUGUACAAAUGAAACAACUGAAAUUAUAUUUUUGUUUUGAUGUGCAUUGUUAAUAGAUAAGAAAGAAAAAGAAGGAUUUUUUCUACAGCCUAGUUUGCCCUGGAGUCCCAAAUGUAAUUUUGGGUUAGUCUAUUGGUUACCUGAAGGUCUCUAUACCUGUCUACACAUGCAUUUUUUAUUAGUUUAGCUGCCAUUAUAAUAAGGUUUCCUGCACAAAUCUCCCAACUCUGAUGGUAUCAAUUUAUUUCUAGAGUAUUCUAUUCUAAUGAGCACCUUAACACAAGGCAAAUGUCCUUGCUUCCCAAUAGGAAGGGAACUGGAUGUUUUCAGUAUAAUAGAGUUGGAAAGGGAAAGUAGACUGAUGUUAGUGCACCUGCACAGAAAAGAUAAAAAAUUGUGUGAAUAACUUGGAUGCGUGUGCUAAUUCUUGAUGUAUAAAUGUUAAUUAAAGAUUUGCUGGAAAUGAAA